This is a long non-coding RNA of Lepus europaeus (European hare), 891 nucleotides long. RefSeq lists it as uncharacterized. NCBI's taxonomy places the organism in Eukaryota, Metazoa, Chordata, Mammalia, Lagomorpha, Leporidae. The transcript has 6 exons. The record is from RefSeq and is a predicted model, not a curated record.
GGCCAGGCCCGGAGAGUCCCGCGCCCUCAGGUCGCAGCCGAGCGUGCCGUGCGUCCGCAAACCCCACGCGGAGCAAAGACGGAAGGAAACGAGAGCGGGACGCGGGACGCCGGAGCAGGGCAGUCAUUUCCUCAGAGCUCUGCUUGAGCUCCUGUGUUGAAGUGAAGCAGAGGAGCAAAUCUUGAUGCAGAAGACCCUGUAGGAGGCUUCUACAAUGCUGGAGGAGAACCUUGGCACCUGGGAACAAGACUUAGGGUCUACAUGAAGAAACCAGCACAGAGCUGUAUACUGUGGUCCAGCAUACACGUCAAACAACCAGCGCCUUUGGAAGCACAGACUUAGGCUGUUGUGUGGACUGAAUAAGAAAAACUAGGAAAAUACUUUGAAGAACAGCUACUCUUCGUGUGGCAAGUUCUAUAGAAAAGAUCAAGUCAAUAGCAAAAUGCGACUGAAAUUCCUAGAAGAAUCACCACUGUGAUGGAGCCUAUUAUCCGGAUGUCAUUGGUUGGAUCCACCAUCAUUGAAUCACUUUCCUAAAAAAAGAAUCACUGGCAUACUUAGAUAUAUAGCUUUUUGCAUAUGUGUCUUAUGUUAGCAUUUAACAAUGAAAAGAUACUCUACACUAUUGCCUGGGGCCAUCUUGGAUAACAUAAAAAUAAAGUGCUCAUAAAUUUGAGAAUAUAAAGAACCUAACCCUAUUUUACUUUUCCAAGAUAAUAAGCCUUUGAGAUCCAUGGACAGGAGUUGGAAAUUUUAGAGAUUAAUUCUAGUUAUAGCUUUUGAAGCUAUUGUAGCACACAGUAAAAUUUUGUGUGCAAAUACCUAUUGUGUUUUGUGUCAUAAGAAUGGUUAUGUUUGUGUGUCAGGGGGAAUCCUAGAAUAAUAAAAAUG